This 205-nucleotide ribosomal RNA is filed under the name Ophiostomatales sp. Its description in RNAcentral is "partial small subunit ribosomal RNA". It matches the Rfam family "Eukaryotic small subunit ribosomal RNA", at positions 1334 to 1562 of the family's 1831-position model. Lineage: Eukaryota; Fungi; Ascomycota; Sordariomycetes; Ophiostomatales. The record is from RNAcentral.
AACGAGACCUUAACCUGCUAAAUAGCCCACGUUGCUUCGGCAGCGCGCUGGCUUCUUAGAGGGACUAUCUGCUCAAGCCGAUUUAUCUCUGCCCCAAUAACAGGUCUUUUAUGCCCGUAUAUUUUCUUGUCCGCACGCUCGCUACACUGACGGAGCCAGCGAGUUUUUUCCUUGUCCGCCAGGUCUGGGUAAUCUUGUGAAACUC